UUAUCUCCAUCAUCGUCUAAAAACUUCUGCUUCUCUGUCCAAGAGAAUUCCGACCAUCUUACUUUUUGAUGGAAAAUCAACUGAACGGUUACCGUGAAAAUUGGAUUGCAGUUGCAAGUGACCGUAGCCUUUAAUGGUUAUGAUUAUUUGAGCUUUUCAUAUUAACUUCAAACAAGGUCCAAACCAGCUUCUCACUCCAUGUCUAGUCCUUCUUUCCUUUCACAAGAACAAACACGCUUGAGCUAAAUCAACAGGUCGAUUGUUACUCAAAUGAAGCACUUAAACAAAGCAAAAACAAAAUAUCAGUGAAAGUUCAGAAACAGCCACAGGUGGAUUGAUAACUAUCAUGCUUUCUACUUCUAACAAGGUUAACCACUCGUUUUAUGAAGCAAGCGACAUUUCCAAUUUCUAGAUGGAGCAAGGCCCUUAAACCUAUCCCAGUUGCAGGUAACCUAGAGUUCCUUUUUCUUUGUUUCCUUGUUUAUUCACUGAGAGUGUUCAACAUAACACUGAUUGCUGCUACUUGAGAUAGAUGAUUAAGUUGAUAUUGGGGGAUCUUGUUAUUAAAUUAAGCAUGGACUCAUACAGUUGCCCAACUUAUUAUCUGAGUAAUAAAUUUAAUUUAAAAAGGGAAAGAAACAAGCCAGUAAGCAUAAGUGAAUCUCCCAGCUAGUAUAUGGUAGGCACUAUGGAAGGCAAGGAACUCUAGAGCUUUUGAUAGUGUUGAGAAUAGUAUGCAAAAAGUCAAACUAAAUUGUAUUAUGCUACUGUGUUUUUGGUGUAAUCAAUUAUACUCAAAUGAUACUAUUUCCAUAAUUGAUGUCUAGACUCAAUUUAGUAAAAGAUAGUAGGAUUUGAAGUACAUGUUGUAAAUACUGACCAAUACAGUUUUAGUACUGACUUUUGAGGAAUAGACAAAGUCACCAAUUUCAAAAAAAAAAAAGCAUGAAGUGAAUCAAAAAGUAGAAAACCUUAUAAGAAGGCAAGAUUUUCAAAAAGAAAUAAGGGAUAAAAGGCUAUUCUGCAAAAGUGUAUAAAAUCCCUUCCACUCUAUCAAAAGCUCUCCUAUUUCUCUUUCCAUAUAGCCCACAGAAUUGCUGGGGGGAGCAACAUCCUAUGUUCUGUUUCUUCUCCUUUGUCUUCCAAAAGGUCCAAUGAAACAUGCGAUGUGUGGAUUGGGUGCAUAUCAUGGCACCAAACUCUGUCCAAGACAAAAACAUGAUGUUUAAGUGAAGAAAGGGGAAAGGGUCAUUAUCCAUGAGUUUUUAACCUCACGCCUUUUUGCCUCGGAAAUUUCUUGGGUUAUAAGAAGGGUUCUCUUUUUGGAAAUGUCAAAUGUUUCAUUGAUUAUGCAUCUUAGUGCUGAAGAAACUUUACAAUCAGUGUAAGGCAGUGAGCCAAUCAAUGAAAUUAUCUCUUUUAUUUAUAAAAAAGUAUGCACCAAAAAG
Long non-coding RNA from Solanum stenotomum, 1448 nucleotides. RefSeq lists it as uncharacterized. Lineage: Eukaryota; Viridiplantae; Streptophyta; Magnoliopsida; Solanales; Solanaceae. The transcript is spliced from 3 exons. The record is from RefSeq and is a predicted model, not a curated record.